UGAACUCUGCAUUAGUUUCAAAGAAUACACGUUAUUUACAUUUAUAUGACUAAAAAUAUAUAUGAUCUUAAAACUAGUUCUCUCUACAACAUGUAACAUAAAUAAAAGUAAUUAUUUUAUGAAUACAUUAACAUUGUUCCAUGUGUAUGAAAGUUUAAUGCUUAUUUCCCUUCUCACAGACCCCAUAACUAGACCUAAAACGGCUGUCUCUAAUAAACCAGACUUAAAAAAAGAAAAUAUAAAUUAUGACAAAAUGAUUUUUCAUUCCAAUAAUAAACAACACUUCCAAAAAAGUUGCAGGAUGAUAUGAUAUAUACACAAUAAUCUUAAUGUACACAGAAUGCCGUUUAAAAGUGAGAAAUCAAAGAAAGGGAGCCUCAAAACACUCACAAUAAUUCAACAAUGUAUCUAUUAUACAAUGCCUGGUCGAAAUCUGUCUAGAGUAGCUUAAUUACAGGAAGUCAGGCAUGAAAGCUCUGGUUUCCGGUUUAUGCAGUAAUGGUACAAAUGUGAAAAAAGGCAGCAAUUAUUGAAGCAUAUUUAAAAAAAACUUCUAUCAUUUUCCUAAUAUAGGUAUAUUGAAUUCAGGAUUAUGAGUGGAAUCCUAUUAAACACUACUCUGGAUGUAAUCUAAGAUUCCUCAUAGCUAUAUCAGGAAAGGAUGCAGUUGACAUAUCAACCAAAGCUGACACACUCCCUCCUAGCUAUUGCCUUGGUCUGGGAAAUCGUAGAGUCUUCCAUCUCAUGGCUAAAGAGAAGUUUCUUGAAGACGGGCUCCAGCACGAGUCCAAAAGCUCAGAAGAUUAAAAAUCUCUGAUCCCGGUGACUGACCCAGAUUGGAUCCUACAACAUUAUCCUGGCACAAGUAUAUUCGCCUUCUUCAUUUCUGUUCCUUCUGAGAAAGUUCUAAUCAAACCAAGAAUCAAACUCUGAAUCAAGUUAACUAUCACUGGAAGUUAAAUACUAGUUUAUAAAUUGUCCAUUUCCAAUGUAACCAUUAUAGUCUUCUGUGGAAUAAGUAUAAUGAUAAUCCUCUUUAAAGACAAAUGUAUGCCGUCUUCCUUCAUGUAUUAUGUUUAUUUGUUACAGCACCUGGGAUGCUAACAAAGAACGUAAAGAACUCCCUGGCUAAAAGUUACAAGCCAAAUUAAAUAAGACUACAGAAUACAAAUGGUGGAAUAUCCCUUUUCAGGCAACUUGACAGCAAUCUUGAGUGUUAUAAACUGAAAUCCAUCUACUUUAACUAUACAAAUGGAAUGGCAAAAUACCUCCUGACUCUGCUAGUCUAGAUCUCUAGAUGAGAUCUAGACUAGCUCAAAUGCAAGAAUAUAUACUGGCAAAACCCCAUUCAUAACAACAUUGUUUUAAACUAGUUUCCCAUAUGUAAUUGAUUAUAAAACAUAACAUCCUAAUAAAUGUUAAUAACAUUA
Molecule: long non-coding RNA, 1430 nt
Organism: Crotalus tigris (Tiger rattlesnake)
Lineage: Eukaryota; Metazoa; Chordata; Lepidosauria; Squamata; Viperidae
Exons: 3
Source: RefSeq, a predicted model, not a curated record